CCCUUAGAUGUUCUGGGCCGCACACGCGCUACACUGAAGGAGGCAGCGUGUACUCCUGGAUCGAAAGAUUUGGGUAACCCGCGAAUCUCCUUCGUGCUAGGGAUUGAGGUUUGCAAUUAUCCUUCAUGAACGAGGAAUUCCCAGUAAGUGCAAGUCAUAAGCUUGCGCUGACUACGUCCCUGCCCUUUGUACACACCGCCCGUCGCUACUACCGAUUGAAUGAUUUAGUGAGGACUUCGGACUGGGACCGAUGCGGCUUUCGGGCUGCGUCGGUAUUCUGGAAAGACGUCCAAACUGUAUCAUUUAGAGGAAGUAAAAGUCGUAACA
Molecule: ribosomal RNA, 327 nt
Filed under: uncultured eukaryote
Lineage: Eukaryota
Description: partial 18S ribosomal RNA
Rfam family: Eukaryotic small subunit ribosomal RNA
Source: RNAcentral